RNAcentral lists this ribosomal RNA (253 nucleotides) under uncultured bacterium. RNAcentral describes it as "partial 16S ribosomal RNA". It matches the Rfam family "Bacterial small subunit ribosomal RNA", at positions 524 to 776 of the family's 1533-position model. The record is from RNAcentral.
UACGGGGGGGGCAAGCGUUGUUCGGAAUUACUGGGCGUAAAGGGCUUGUAGGUGGCCAACUAAGUCGGACGUGAAAUCCCUCGGCUUAACCGGGGAACUGCGUCCGAUACUGGAUGGCUUGAGUGUGGGAGAGGGAUGCGGAAUUCCAGGUGUAGCGGUGAAAUGCGUAGAUAUCUGGAGGAACACCGGUGGCGAAGGCGGCAUCCUGGACCACGACUGACACUGAAAAGCGAAAGCCAGGGGAGCAAACGGG